RNAcentral lists this ribosomal RNA (306 nucleotides) under uncultured bacterium. RNAcentral describes it as "bacterial SSU rRNA". It matches the Rfam family "Bacterial small subunit ribosomal RNA", at positions 28 to 334 of the family's 1533-position model. The record is from RNAcentral.
GACGAACGCUGGCGGCGUGCCUAACACAUGCAAGUCGAGCGGGGAAAACCCUUCGGGGUUUUCUAGCGGCGGACGGGUGAGUAACGCGUGAGCAAUCUGUCCCAUACAGGGGGAUAACAACUGGAAACAGUUGCUAAUACCGCAUGAGACCACAGAGCCGCAUGGUUCAGGGGUCAAAGGAGCAAUCCGGUAUGGGGUGAGCUCGCGUCCGAUUAGCUAGUUGGUGAGGUAACGGCCCACCAAGGCAACGAUCGGUAGCCGACCUGAGAGGGUGAUCGGCCACAUUGGAACUGAGACACGGUCCAA